Molecule: unclassified non-coding RNA, 313 nt
Filed under: plant metagenome
Description: partial contains 5.8S ribosomal RNA, internal transcribed spacer 2, and large subunit ribosomal RNA
Rfam family: 5.8S ribosomal RNA (bases 1-105)
Source: RNAcentral
GAAAUGCGAUACGUAGUGUGAAUUGCAGAAUUCAGUGAAUCAUCGAAUCUGUGAACGCACAUUGCGCCCUUUGGUAUUCCAAAGGGCAUGCCUGUUCGAGCGUCAUUUGUACCCUCAAGCUUUGCUUGGUGUUGGGCGUUUUUUGUCUUUGGCUCGCCCAAAGACUCGCCUUAAAACGAUUGGCAGCCGGCCUACUGGUUUCGCAGCGCAGCACAUUUUUGCGCUUGCAAUCAGCAAAAGAGGACGGCAAUCCAUCAAGACUCCUUCUCACGUUUGACCUCGGAUCAGGUAGGGAUACCCGCUGAACUUAAGC